CCAAGAUGAGACUUACAUUCCUGCCAUAAACAACUAGGAAACUGGGUGGAAUACUAAAAACAACUCUUUGCAGAUAUUGGACAACCAUCAUUCUGGAGCUAUUAUCUUGAUAUUCAGAGAAGGCUCCCUUCCAAGAGUCUCAAUGCAUUCGCCAAGGAGCAAUUUCACUCUAUUUCCUUCUUCCACCACCAUUUUCCAGAGUCCUCAAUCCCAGGGAGUCGGCUGACACUACCUUGAUGAGAAGGAACGAUAGAGAAACGCAAACAAGUCAGAAAAGAGCAGAGGAAAGAAUGUGAGAGGCUGUGGCUGGAACUAUGAUGGUAGCAAGUGUGCUCAAGAGUUCCUUUAUAACAACAAACCUCAAGCACUAAUGAGCAUUGCUGAAGAUAAAGAUUUACUGUUUCCACUUGGUCCACGGCUUGGAAUAGGGCUCCAGGGUGGUUAAGAUGCUGCCUUGUGGCUGAAGGGAGAAGCUGAAGCAGAAGCCCUACCACCAGGGGAGACCAAGGAGACCCUCAAAGGCUGCCGGGCUCCAGAGGCUCCUAGUCAUGCUCGAAGGCCUUCCAGGAUCUUGUUCUGUAACGAUGAAGAAAAGCAAUCUGACUCCGUAGAGGCUUCAUGUACAUUAUGGUAAAUUACGGCAUUCUCAUAAAUGUUGACUUGGGCUACCCUAGACAAGAAGCAAAAAGAGAUAUCCCACAGAAUGUCAGCAACUGCGGAUACAAAAUCUCCAGUUAGAUCCAAGAGGGAGAGAGUGGCAUGUACUACAGCAAAGUGAUUUCACUAUAGCUGUCAUAUUCUAUAGUAUAUUAUUGCGGUCAAGAGCAUAGACUCUCAAAGGUAGGAUAACCGAAUUUCAACCUCGGCUCUGCUAUUUACUAGC
Mustela lutreola (European mink) is the source of this 883-nucleotide long non-coding RNA. RefSeq lists it as uncharacterized. Lineage: Eukaryota; Metazoa; Chordata; Mammalia; Carnivora; Mustelidae. The record is from RefSeq and is a predicted model, not a curated record. The transcript has 5 exons.